AGCAGCCGCGGUAAUUCCAGCUCCAAUAGCGUAUAUUAAAGUUGUUGCAGUUAAAAAGCUCGUAGUUGAAUUUCGGGAUUGACACAUCGGUCGUGCCUUAAGGGGUAUGAACUGGUGUAGUCAAUUUCUCACCUUCUGGAGAACCGCGAUGCCCUUAAUUGGGUGUCGCGGGGAACCAGGACCUUUACUUUGAAAAAAUUAGAGUGUUUAAAGCAGGCAUUUUGCUUGAAUACAUUAGCAUGGAAUAAUAAAAUAGGACGGCAUGAUUCUAUUUUGUUGGUCUCUAGGAUCACCGUAAUGAUUAAUAGGGAUAGUUGGGGGCAUUAGUAUUCAAUUGUCAGAGGUGAAAUUCUUGGAUUUAUUGAAGACUAACUACUGCGAAAGCAUUUGCCAAGGAUGUUUUCAUUAAUCAAGAACGAAAGUUAGGGGAUCGAAGACGAUCAGAUACCGUCGUAGUCUUAACCAUAAACUAUGCCGACUAGGAAUCAGACGAUGUUAAUUUUUUAAUGACUCGUUUGGC
Molecule: unclassified non-coding RNA, 520 nt
Filed under: uncultured Entrophospora
Lineage: Eukaryota; Fungi; Glomeromycota; Glomeromycetes; Entrophosporales; Entrophosporaceae
Description: SSU rRNA
Rfam family: Eukaryotic small subunit ribosomal RNA
Source: RNAcentral